UCUAUUAUUUUCUCUCAACAUUUUUGCUUGUAACAUUUAUAUUAACUGGUGUUGUAUUGUUAUAAAUGAGAUCCAGUGGCACUAAUCAAUGUUUUCUGAUGGAUUUAACAGCUACCAGAGUUUGUUCAGGAGUCAACAGGUACGAGCAAAAACACUCUUUUCUCCACUUUGACACUGUGACAUCAUCUGUCAGACAGGAAGUGCUCAUGAAAUUCUGAUGUCUUCCACAGUAACGAGACUCUCCUGUCCGCUGGACUCGUGAGCGCCCCCUGUAGUGUGGACCUGCAGCAGUACGCUUGCUCUUCGAUCACAAGCUUCACUCCUGAAAGCCUGGCUGGGCUCCUGAAGUGUCAACUAUCCAGCAGCAGAAGUUACUCCAAGGAGAUCUGGAAACUCCUUUUCACCAAAGCAAAUGAUGUUCUGGACGGAGCCCUCGUCAUCUUCUCCAGCACAGCGGCAAAUAUGUCUCAGCCAAUCAGAGGUGAUGUCGUGUCCCAAGUGCUGGAUGUGAUUGGAGAGCUGAGACUGGAGCGCAUCAGUCCUGACCAAUGGAGUGACGUCACUUUCAUCAGCAUGUUGUUGGGUCAAUAUCUGAAGCCGUUU
Onychostoma macrolepis is the source of this 603-nucleotide long non-coding RNA. RefSeq lists it as uncharacterized. NCBI's taxonomy places the organism in Eukaryota, Metazoa, Chordata, Actinopteri, Cypriniformes, Cyprinidae. The transcript is spliced from 3 exons. The record is from RefSeq and is a predicted model, not a curated record.